GAUGAAGAACGUAGCGAAAUGCGAUAAGUAAUGUGAAUUGCAGAAUUCAGUGAAUCAUCGAAUCUUUGAACGCACAUUGCGCCCCCUGGUAUUCCGGGGGGCAUGCCUGUUCGAGCGUCAUUACAACCCUCAAGCUCUGCUUGGUGUUGGGCCCCGCCGCCCCGGCGGGCCCUAAAAUCAGUGGCGGUGCCGUCCGGCUCCGAGCGUAGUAAUUCUUCUCGCUCUGGAGGUCCGGGUGUGUGCUCGCCAGCAACCCCCAAUUUUUUUCAGGUUGACCUCGGAUCAGGUAGGGAUACCCGCUGAGCUUAAGCAUAUCAAUAAGCGGAGGA
Molecule: unclassified non-coding RNA, 329 nt
Filed under: soil metagenome
Description: partial contains 5.8S ribosomal RNA, internal transcribed spacer 2, and large subunit ribosomal RNA
Rfam family: 5.8S ribosomal RNA (bases 1-120)
Source: RNAcentral